RNAcentral lists this microRNA precursor (73 nucleotides) under Taeniopygia guttata (zebra finch). RNAcentral's name for it is "microRNA tgu-mir-30b precursor". Its record names the gene tgu-mir-30b. It matches the Rfam family "mir-30 microRNA precursor family". Rfam says of the family: This family consists of the mammalian microRNA (miRNA) precursor mir-30a. Animal miRNAs are transcribed as ~70nt precursors and subsequently processed by the Dicer enzyme to give a ~22nt product. Lineage: Eukaryota; Metazoa; Chordata; Aves; Passeriformes; Estrildidae. The record is from miRBase by way of RNAcentral.
AGUGAGCGACUGUAAACAUCCUCGACUGGAAGCUGUGAAGCAGCAGAUGGGGCUUUCAGUCGGAUGUUUGCAG